This 81-nucleotide small RNA is filed under the name Sodalis sp. TME1. RNAcentral describes it as "isrK Hfq binding RNA". It matches the Rfam family "isrK Hfq binding RNA". Lineage: Bacteria; Pseudomonadati; Pseudomonadota; Gammaproteobacteria; Enterobacterales; Bruguierivoracaceae. The record is from Rfam by way of RNAcentral.
GCAUCUGCAAAUUCAGGUGCUGGGUUUGCUACCCCGUGGGAAUCAUCGCGACAGAAAUGACACGCCGCGAGCGUGUUUUUU